This is a long non-coding RNA of Eriocheir sinensis (Chinese mitten crab), 3742 nucleotides long. RefSeq lists it as uncharacterized. The record is from RefSeq and is a predicted model, not a curated record. The transcript is spliced from 2 exons. NCBI's taxonomy places the organism in Eukaryota, Metazoa, Arthropoda, Malacostraca, Decapoda, Varunidae.
UUUAAAUAUAUUCAACUAUAGAAAAGGCAUGAAAUAUAUUGAUCUACUAUUCAAUCACAAAGUAGCUAUGUAUCUGCAUUUUAAAUCUCGUAAUGUAGUUUUGUAAUCUUCGGUAAUCUAGUAUUUUAGCUAUACUGUAUAUAUCUGUAUUAACAAAGAUACCUUGUAAUUGUUUAGAUUAUUCAAUUAUAGAAAAGGCAGGAAAUAUAUUGAUCUACUAUUUAGUCAUAAAGUAGCUAUGUAUCUGCAUUUUAAAUCUCGUAAUGUGGUUUUAUUAUUUCAGUAAUCUAUAGUAUUUUAGCGAUUUAUAUCUGUAUUAACAAACUAGUAAUGUAGCAACGUAUCUAUCAAGAAUCUAACAAUGCAACUGUCUGUAUCAAUAAUCUAAUAUAUACAAAUAAAUUUUUAUCAACAUCGUUCACAACUGUAACACAAGAAGAUCAAUAAGAUGCAGUUUUGAAAGUAUCUCAUCAGCAGCAUUGUAACAACUUCAGACUGAGAAUAAUACCGGCAAAAAGUUUGAUAAAUGUCCAUAUUAAUUAUACAGUAUUUUUCUCUGCGUCAGAAGUUUGAUAAAUGUUUGAUAAUUGUACAGCAUUUUUCUCUUCGUGUAACAAUCCUAAACAUUAAUAUUUGUCUUAUUUACUCAAUAAUUCAAUAGAUUUCCCUAAGUGAUAUAUUACCUCCUUCCAUUCUUCAGGGCUUCUCUCCUUCUCCUCCUCCUCCCUCCCUCCCUCCCCUCUAUCACACACCAGAUAUACAAAACAGAACUCAAUCUUACAUCACUUAAUCAUUAAUAUUUUCUUUCCUCAGCAAUGAUAUAUGUACAAUUUCUAUAAAUACUCUCACAACUAGUUUCCCACGUUCUAGUAAUUACAAAUGAGUGAAAGGAGGGAAAAAUAAGUACGAAUUUCGACAGCAGACUUCACGUUAAUCAUGAAUAGAUUUUUACAGGAAUUCUUUUACCUUCCCCUUCACACAAUCUCAUUUACUGUAAUUACUUUUUGAAGAAGGAAAACAACAUACAUUUUUAACAAUAUUAAUAAUAGACAACAUUAUUUAUUCUCCUUUCACAAUGUUCUCAUAAUUACUUUAGUUAUUCUCUAUGUGAAAAUUGAGAAAAAUGUAUAUAUUUUUUAAUAACAAUAAAAAUAACUAUACAAUCUUGAACAACUGUAUAAUAACUUUACUUUAAUUCUCCUUUCACAUAUUCUCAUAAUUACUUUAGUUACAAAUUUUUAAUAACAAUAUUCAUAAUAGCUAUAAUUAUAAAUAUUUGUGAUAACUUUUAAUUCUCCUUUCAGAGAUUUCCAUAAAUACUACAACUACUCCGUGUGAAAUGGGAGAAUAAACUUUUUUUUUUUUUACUUAAUCAAAUAAAUUCUCCUAACUUUUUUUUAUCAUACUCUUGUCAACACUAUAAUUGCUCUUGUACGAAAACGGAAACAUAUAUACUUUUUUUCUAUGAUACACUUCACUUGUAAACUUCCGUAUAUAACAAAGAUAAUUAUUAAGGGGCAUGCAGGACUUUAGGAAAAUACUAGAUCAUCUCUCCUAUAAUAUUCACAAUCUUUAUAUAAAUACUUUAAUCUUUCACGUCCUAUAUCAAUAACUCGCUUCCUAAAACCAUAAAUUAUCUCCCUCUAUAAACACACUUCCCAGUCUUUUUAUAAACACCCAAAUCAUCCAUGUUCCUUAAUGACUAUCUUCGUUAAACAAUGAAUUAUCUUACCAAUAGCUUACAAUCAUCACAACCACUUCAAUCUUGCAUUACCUUCAGAAUGACCUUUUGACCUUAUCUUAAUCCUGAGUCAUGGCCGAGACUAGACGAUUAUUAAGCCUUACGUGAAACAGACAACAGCGUAUUAAGUCUACAGGUAAACAAACAAGCAUUACAACCAGGUACGACGCAGGUAUACUCUACAGGUAGCGCGCGAGAUAGCAGAAUCCAGGUAAGACUUUAUAGGAGAAAGAUACGGCACUCGGUUGAUCCUUUCCGCGCGCCGGGUCACACCUCUCCUAUUCCCUUCCCUUCUGACCCUUCCCUUAGUUUAUCUUACGGAUGGGGAGACACCAAAGGGAAGAAAAGAGAGAAGGGAAUGAAAGGGAGAAGGGAAUAAAAGGGAAAGGGAAUGAAAGGGAGAAGGGAUUGAAAGGGAAAGGAAGGUAAAUUACUUGCCCAAAUUUCCCACACCUGUUUUACUUUCCCUUUCCCUUACUUUCCCUCCUCUUACUAAUCAGACGGCUAAGGAAAGGAAAGGGAAAGGAGAGGGAAAGGACAGGUAGCUUAAUCACUUUCCCAGGUAAAUGAUCUAAAUGAGCUCUGUAACUGAUUCACUUUCCCUUUCUUCCCUUUUCUUUCCCAAGCUUACAAAAACAUAGACAGCGAGAAAAAGAAAAUGAAAGGGAAAGGACAGGUAGAUUAAUUACUUUCCCAGGUAAGUGAUCUAAAUGAGCUCUGUAAUUGAUUCCCUUUCCCUUUCUCCCCUUUUCUUUCCUAAGCUUACCAGAUCAAAUACAGCGAAGGGAAAGGAAAAAGAGAAAGGAAUGAAAGGGAAAGGCCAGGUAGAUCAAUUUCUCACAGGUAAAUUCCUCAGGUGAACUCAUUUAUACCUAAUUAACUCUCCCUUCCUUUCCCAGGCUUGCAGGGUUAAGGAAAGCAAAGGAAAGGUAAAGAGAGAAGGAAAUGAAAGGGAAAGUGACAGGUAGAUCAAUUUCUCACAGGUAAACUCUCCAGGUAAGUUCUCCCUGAGCUAAUUCACUUCUCUCCUUUCCCUUCAACUUCCCUCAACUUAUACACUGAAGACGAGAAAAUAGAAAAGAGAGUAAGAAAAGGGGCGAGGAAGAAGGAGAGGGGAGGAGGCAGGUAAGAUAAGGGGGUAUGGACAGGUAACAAUCAAGGUGAAACUAAUUAUUUAUCUUGUAAACUAAGGUGAGAAGAUGAAAACACUCACCAUAUUAAAAAUCAUCCUCUUCCUCCUCCUCUUCUUCCUCCUGUUUCUUCCUUACUUCCUCUCCCUCUCUCACUCCUUCUCCUCCUCCUCCCCCGUUUUUUCUUCACUUUCUCUCCUUCUCUCACUCUUCCUCCUCCUCCUCCUCUUCAUCUCUCUCCUCCUCAUCCACGCACGGCGGUGACCUACCCGAGUCAAGACAAACAGAACUAAAAAAAGUCCAGCCCGUGUACAGCCGAGGCGACGAACCCGACGGAGUGAAGCAACGAACGAAUCCCUGAAGCUUCGAACCAACGCUUUAAGGAGUCGAGGAGGAAAGGACCGCGACAACCCUCUAAUCAACAACUUAACCUAAUUUAACUUCAACUUUUUUUUUCUUUCGUCUCGAUUGACACUUUAUAAGCAAAUGUAAUUGGCGUAACUAAUUUUUUCAACAUUUUAUAUCGUCUGAAGAGCAUUGCGUGGUUACUGUGUCUAUUUUGCCAUUAUUAGGCUCAAAAUUUGCCCCAAGACACUUUAUAAACAUUACUUAAAACGAGUCUCGGUCGCUUAAAUCUAGUUGCGAGCGCUUUAGGAUAAGUAUCAAUGACUGAACUCCAAGAAAACAAAGGGGCAGAUAAAUAUGAGAGGGAACGAUAGAACGUAACCAGGAUGUUAUGUCGCUAAAGUUACGAUGACGGAACUAAAAAUACGAUCACUUAAUUUGGGUUACGAUCACCUCGAGCUACAAUUGCUUAAGUUACAAUCGCUUAAGUUAUACAAUCACUUAAGUUAUACAGUCGCUUAAGUUA